RNAcentral lists this ribosomal RNA (651 nucleotides) under Escherichia coli. RNAcentral describes it as "partial 23S ribosomal RNA". It matches the Rfam family "Bacterial large subunit ribosomal RNA", at positions 243 to 934 of the family's 2925-position model. The record is from RNAcentral. Lineage: Bacteria; Pseudomonadati; Pseudomonadota; Gammaproteobacteria; Enterobacterales; Enterobacteriaceae.
GUAGCGGCGAGCGAACGGGGAGCAGCCCAGAGCCUGAAUCAGUGUGUGUGUUAGUGGAAGCGUCUGGAAAGGCGCGCGAUACAGGGUGACAGCCCCGUACACAAAAAUGCACAUGCUGUGAGCUCGAUGAGUAGGGCGGGACACGUGGUAUCCUGUCUGAAUAUGGGGGGACCAUCCUCCAAGGCUAAAUACUCCUGACUGACCGAUAGUGAACCAGUACCGUGAGGGAAAGGCGAAAAGAACCCCGGCGAGGGGAGUGAAAAAGAACCUGAAACCGUGUACGUACAAGCAGUGGGAGCACGCUUAGGCGUGUGACUGCGUACCUUUUGUAUAAUGGGUCAGCGACUUAUAUUCUGUAGCAAGGUUAACCGAAUAGGGGAGCCGAAGGGAAACCGAGUCUUAACUGGGCGUUAAGUUGCAGGGUAUAGACCCGAAACCCGGUGAUCUAGCCAUGGGCAGGUUGAAGGUUGGGUAACACUAACUGGAGGACCGAACCGACUAAUGUUGAAAAAUUAGCGGAUGACUUGUGGCUGGGGGUGAAAGGCCAAUCAAACCGGGAGAUAGCUGGUUCUCCCCGAAAGCUAUUUAGGUAGCGCCUCGUGAAUUCAUCUCCGGGGGUAGAGCACUGUUUCGGCAAGGGGGUCAUCCCGA